This 508-nucleotide ribosomal RNA is filed under the name uncultured bacterium. RNAcentral's name for it is "partial 16S ribosomal RNA". It matches the Rfam family "Bacterial small subunit ribosomal RNA", at positions 28 to 507 of the family's 1533-position model. The record is from RNAcentral.
GACGAACGCUGGCGGCGUGCCUAAUACAUGCAAGUCGAACGCUUCUUUCCUCCCGAGUGCUUGCACUCAAUUGGAAAGAGGAGUGGCGGACGGGUGAGUAACACGUGGGUAACCUACCCAUCAGAGGGGGAUAACACUUGGAAACAGGUGCUAAUACCGCAUAACAGUUUAUGCCGCAUGGCAUAAGAGUGAAAGGCGCUUUCGGGUGUCGCUGAUGGAUGGACCCGCGGUGCAUUAGCUAGUUGGUGGGGUAACGGCUCACCAAGGCAACGAUGCAUAGCCGACCUGAGAGGGUGGUAGGCCACACUGGGACUGCGACACGGCCCAGACUCCUGCGGGAGGCAGCAGUAGGGAAUCUUCGGCAAUGGACGAAAGUCUGACCGAGCAACGCCGCGUGAGUGAAGAAGGUUUUCGGAUCUUAAAACUCUGUUGUUAGAGAAGAACAAGGACGUUAGUAACUGAACGUCCCCUGACGGUAUCUAACCAGAAAGCCACGGCUAACUACGUG